AUGCAGUUUCACACAGCAUGCAUGUUGUGCAGGAGGAAGAUCUUUCUAAUUUUGGGAGAGCAACUGAAACAAUUCAGUGUACAGUGAACUGCAAUCAUUGAAGUCAAAGAGAGUUUUCUGUCUACCUGAACAGUAACAGCACCUUCAGCAAGGCAGAAGGAUUGGCUGUGGGACUUGGAAUAUCCCAGGAGCAAAGGAAGAUGAAACGUUGCUGAUCUGAAAAGUGAGAAAGGAGAACUCUUGGGAACCUACAGGUCUCCCCAGGAAGAAGAAGCAGAAAGGCCUGAGGAAUGGUAGUGGGCGGAAGAUGCGUGGUUUCUGAGGCACUCUGGGAGAGCAAAUGUGAACACUGUGUGGAAGAUUUAUGUCCAUUUAAAAACAAGGUUGCUUCUGUGAGGUAUGAGCCUGCAUUUAAAACCAAAAGCAAGAAACCAGACAAUGGAGCUACUAAAUGCACCUCUUCCAUUAGUGGGUAAGGGCUGGAAAUGCCACUAACCAAAGGUCGAUGGCUUCUGUCAGUCACAGCAGAGCUGAGAAGAGACUGAGUUUCAGCCACAAAUGGUGCUGUGAGUUACCUCCUCCUGUUUUCAGUUUGAUUCUUAUCUGCUGUUUUGGGUACCAGUGUUGCUCUUGGCACACUUAAGAUCAGCACUUUUAAUUAAGUGGGUGUCCUCAAGUUUCACUGACUUUUGAGUUUGGGAGAGAGUUUAAUUUUUGGAGGAUCUUUUAGAAAUGGAUUGAUUAGUAUAGCAUCAAGGAGAGAAAAUUCUUUACUGGAAAAGAAGGAAAAAAGAAGCAAAGAUACCUUUAAGGCUGACACCAUGAAAAAGAUCAUGUAGAAAAAUGCUAAGUACAGUGCUGACUACAGUGAGGAUCCAAAUUAUUCAGGCUGACAGACUGGCUUAAACUACACUCAGUGCUCUGAAAGUGUAUUGAAAGCAUGCAUUUGUUUCUAUUAUCCUAAGUCCUAAUGGGAGCUCCAUAGAAGUAGUUGGAUUUUCCAUUGUUAGGAUGACAGCAGCGCUGUCACCCUGCAUAACUAUUGUGUUUAGCUAAUGUUGUGCUGUGAUUACCAUCUUGUGAGGGUGGUCUUUCUUCACCCACAGCAUUCUUCACAGCAGGCAACUUCAACCAAGUCUGAUUUCAGCUUUCAUUCCAGUUGGAUUCCUGCCCCUCUUUAACCUUGUCAAAGCCAAACCAGAGUGCCUGACAUACUGCAUGGGUGGUUGCCUUUUGGAGAAGAGUAUUGCAGACACAUUCCAGACUUGGACAAAGCAUUCCUGUUUGAGGAGAGGUCUGCAAAUUAGAAGUACAACCUUCAGAAUUUUAAAGAAACUUUUAGGAACUAUGGUUUAAAAAGAUCUGCUUUAUUUCCUUGCUUGUGGUAGUCUUGUUCCUUUUAACAUUCCCAGGAACCGUGAGAAUGGCCACUGGUCAUAUAUCUCACCUGUAGCAAACACUUGGAUGUGGUGAGCUAUGCAAUAGCAGUGAAACAAACAUUGGGGUCCUCCAAAAAAACCAGGAAUCGUAUCUGAUUGGAGCAGCUGAAACAGUAAUGCAACAGCUGAGAGAAACUGAGUAGUGCAGAAGGAAUUUACAAAGAACGCGCUCUUCAAAUCUUCCUUUGGUACAAUGAAUUGAAGGCCAAUGUUAACACCAUAAACAGCACCAUGUUUUAGAAACUAUCUGUGAGUCUAUUUGUGUGCAAGCAUGAAAUUGAUAACAGGCAAAUAUCUGCUAAAAUUGAACUGUUUGUAGGAGCUACAAAAUGCCUUCAUAAAACUCCUCCCCCUGAUUAACCAGCUCAUCAUUCUUCCUUGCUAAGUAUGUGUGGGUGGCUGUUCCAGGUUUGCUAACUCUACAGAUAUUUAAAUAUCAGACCUCUCUGAAAUGCUGGAAUUAGUGGGUUCUGCUAAUCACAGUUCUGUGUAAAGCUGUCAGGAGGCUUGAUACUGACUUGAGAAAAAUUAGAACUUCAGCCCUAGUUUUCAGCUACAACAAGCAGCAUGUUAUUGAUAUAUUAGGAUAAGCAGCAGAUAAGAAGUACCUUUAAGUAUUUGAUGUUGAUUUAUAACUGAAACUCCCAAACCCUGCAGCAGUUCAUUUAUCUUUUGCCUUGACCUUUCUGAAUAUUUAGUAUAGUUAUUGGUUUUAAUGGCAUACACACCUGAAAUAACUGUUUAGAGACCUCAUUCUUCAGAGACUAUAUAAUACCCAAUAGUACAAUAACAUCUGGAAAUAGAAGACAACUGUAAAGGCUUUAGACAAACACAUCUUGCUUUACUGUUGACUUAAUGAAGAGAGACAUAUGGAACUUCAUGUUCCUAAAGGAAUGUGUUGGACUGCAAAUAGAAAUGCAAAAUGGAGAAGUCCAAGCAGUUACUUUCCAUACUACAUUAUGAGAUUAGAAAUAUGCUGAUCUGAAUAGGAACUGUAAAAAUCCAUAAUGCCUUUUGACAGAGAUCAUAAAUCAUGGGCUUUUCAAGGGUAUUAAACAAAUUCCGUCCACAUUGGUAGAGCUGUUUUUAAAAUACUUGUUUUAAAUAAUGGCUUGUGCUAUGUUUUGAAAAAUGUGGCCUCCCUUCCCAAAUUAUUCAAGUUAUUUCAAUAACUUAAUUUUAUACUCAAAUGUAUAAAGAAACACUAAUUUUUCUAAUGUAGUGGUUCUAAAUGUAUUGAUACAUAAAGUAUAAUGCUUUUAAAAUCACGAUGAAAAGCUGAAGACAAAACUUGUGUAUGGAAUGAUAUUGUGAUAGUAUCCACAAGGCCGUAAAACAGAGAUGUCAAAAAAAAUUAUUUUUUUUUCCUCUGGAAUUAAUAAUGUGCAUUGUUUUGAUUUUGUUUAUGUCUAGAUUUAAAAAUAUUUUCAGAUAAAUUAUCCUGGAAAGUCUACAUAAAAAGUUCUGACUCUAAUAGUCUUACUUGUUCAGAAUCUUAUGUUGAGUAAUACUUUCUUCUGAAACCUAUUAGUUAAGUAUUACUCAGUAUUAAUAACAGUAUCAAAGUUUUUUCCAAUGAUUGUAUAGAACAUCUUGCGUGACUGAAUAAUGUUCACAUGAGAGAAAGGCUUGCAAUGUUUAAUGGCUUCUUCAGGAAACUGCAAAGAGCUCUGGGUAUCCUGAAAGCCUACGGAAAGGUUCUACAAUAUUCUUCCUUUUUUUCCUCAAAAAUGAAAAACUAAAAAAGUUUUUAUGUAGGUUCUAGGAAAAGAGACAAUGUUUCUUAAAAUAAUAGUCUGUUUCUUGGGGAGUUCAUGUGUGUAGUAAUAAAGACUUCAUUGUAAAAAUAAAGGUUUGCUAACAAAACAAGAAUAAAACUCUCAUUUUUAGGGGUAAAAGGAAGGGAAGAAUGAUUCAGUUGAAUAUCUAUAUAUAUGAAGAUGGCAUUUAUGGCUUCGAUUUUUUCCCAGAAAUGUCAAAGCAUUUUACAAAAGCUCAUAUAACAUAAGCUUGCAACUAAAUAUCAAAAAACAAGUGGUUAUUAGUACCUCUACUUUACAGAAAAAUGAAAGAAUAACAGAGCAGACACUGAUUUUCCUGGUGUUACCCACAAAGUCACUGGCAGAGUAAUGAAAAUAACCCAAACUAUUCAUUUCUUGUCCUUGGUUUUAAGCAUGGAACCGCAGCUUCUCCGGCGUGAUUGAAAUUUGAUGUUAAAAGUGGCAAAGGACAGACAAAAUGAAGAAAAUGUUAUUUGUAUUCAAGAGAAUGAAGUCUCAUUUCAGGGAAAAUUUGUGUUGAAAAGUCAUAUUUUGUGACUGAAGUAGGCUUUCUUAGAGACCUCUUGGGACACUGAAUUUAUGACACUGUGUUCAAAACAGUACUUGAGUUCCUGAAGGUUGCUCUAAAUAAAAUAUUCCAUAAGGCUAUUUGGGAAUAAGAUAGUCUAAAAGACUAUCCGCUAUUUGAGACUUAUUUGAGAUUUUUAAGACGAUACCUGUUUUUCUAAACAAAAAGAGUCAAACUGCAACAGAACUACCUGCUGGCUAGAAAGAAAGAAAUGCUUCAGCUAGCAGGGUUUGUAAAGUUAGUGGCCUCCCUCCACAGUUUUAUGUCCUCUCUUAGCUGACAACUAAGUUUAUAAAUACUCUUAGCUGAGGGAUAGGAUCUCAGACACAGAAAAAGGAGUCAGGAAACACUGUAUUGGUAGCAUAGGCAGGAACCAGGGCAGCUAUGGGAGUCUCUGCUCUGCCUACCUUUAUUGCAUGAUCCAGACCAAAGCUUACCUGUAUUUCCAGGAAAAAGAGGAGGGAGAACAAAUGACAGAGCCCUCUUUUUUCCUUCCCCUCUUAUACAUCUAUUUGUGGGGCAUUUCAUAAGGAAGCUUAAGCCCAGGAGAAGUUUCUCGCUUAACGCAAAUGGUUGGUGUGGCACGUGACAAUGCAGAUCUACAGAUUUCAGCUACCUGGUGGCUGAGAACCUGGUGCCUACAAUCCUCAGACUGAGCCCCUAUGAGAAAUUUUGUUGUCACGCUCAGUUAUGUUCCUUCAUUUCUAUCUUGGCUGAUAGAUACCACCUAGAUUACAUUUGUGGCUGUUUACAUUUCCCCCACUCUCCUUAGCCAUCAAGUCAAGCUUGCAUUCUCUUUUAGCAACUUUUUUUCAGCAACUAGAUCUUAAGAGCCUUCCCUGGUACCUAAACACAUAUCACACAGCUCCUGGUGUGCCUCAGGAGGAAAAGUCACCCUGCUUUUUUUCAUGUCAAAAAAGAAAAUUGCUGGAGUGUCAUGAAGCAGCUGGAGGUCACAAGAAAAUGUUUUCAGCUGGCCAGAGCCUAUCCUGUUGUCCUGGGUCAGAUUAAUACCCCAGAUAGCUCCUGGCAGAAUAAUCAACAAGAACUGUGAAGUCUGAGAGUCAACACCCAAACCCCGUCCCGAUCAAAAUGAUCUCCCCUACUUCAUCCUAGGUAAGUGCUACUGGUAGGUGCUACAGCCUGGUUGGUCUUUUUUAGCUGUCUCCUCCAGACUGGUGAGCUGCUUCUGUUUCCAGUUUGAUUUAGUGGAUAUUUAGGCACUUUCAGGCCUUAAGGUGAGAUUUUUUUGACCUGUUUGGCAGUCACUGCCUACACAUUCUUUGACUUCUUCAGGGAGCCUUCUGAAAGAGUUAAAGGUCCAAGGAAAUGGAGAUUUAGAGAUUUUUGUAACGCUAAGCUUAACUUCAGUACAGCAUGAACGCUGUUUAAUUGAUUAUAUUACUGUCUAUUUGUUAACUAAUAUGUCCUGUCUUCCUUAGUUUUUUAAUGCCUCAGAAUGUAUUUAGUCCAGAGUCUUGAUAACUGAAAAUAUCCUUAGAUUUAGGAGUUAAAAGUUACAUUUAAAUAAGAAUAUAAAUUGUUUAGGGGGAGAGAGUCUUCUCUGAUAUUCUGUGAUUGUAGUUUAUGACUUCUCUACCUCUAAAGCUGAUUUUAAUAUUUUUCAUUAAAUCUAGUAUAUUCUUUCUUCCCAAGAGCUCUGCCUCUUCAUUAUAACCAUUUCCAUCAAUGACAAGAUCAGAGAGCAUUUUUAAUGUUAAAUAGGAUAGAAGGGUAGAAAUUAGUACUUAAAGGGUGAAACCAUUAGUAUUUCUGAGUGCUUCUAUGUAUUCAUCACUGCCUGAUACAGAUCAGUAUUAAUAAUGGGAGCAGCCAGACAUAAUCCAUCUGCUGGAUAUUCCUUUUCUCUCUUGCAGUGACUGCCUUGUCUUCUUUCUCAGACACUGCCUGCUCCGGUCUCCAGACAGGAAAUCCAGACAUGGCCAUUCAUCAAUGCUGCUAUAAUCUGUCUGAUUUUAUUAGCUUUUGAAUUUUAUCACCAAAAUGAAAAGGAAGGGGGGGAAGGAGAUCCAGCAGUAUGAUUCUCUCAUACCUAUGAAUUCUCCUCAGUACAGCAGAUUGGGACCAGACAAAAAUUAAGAAGUGAAAAGGUGCCUGGCAAAUUGACCCCCCCCCCUUUUAUUUUUAAGAGCUUGAUCUAUUUUAUUUUAUUACUUCUUCAGCAAAUACAUGUGGUGUGCUGCAGUCAGGGUUUCUGGCUGAUGGAGUUUUUUUCCUUCAUUUAAGAUUUCAUGGGUGCAUAUUUAAUAUUCUGUGUUAUUGUGAGACCCGUCUAGGAUUGCAUCUUGUUUUGGAGAGCAGACCCAAACAGCAGUUGGAAAUUGAGUUGCUUGGAGCUGCCGUAUGGAGUAAGGCAUUCCACUGCCAGUUGUCCCAGUUGGAUAAAUCCCAGUUGGAAUAACUGGUUGAGGCAAAAAAUGUUAGACUAUGUGAAGACCACCGCUCUGACAAAUGGAGACACAGCAGGAAUGGACUAAAGCCUUUGAUCUUUUCUGGCAAAGUGGCACAAACCAUUUCAACCCAGGGCACCACCACAGGAAAUCACUGAAAGUGAUUGCAUAUUUUGGUCGCAUUUACUCCCUGUACCCAGUUUCUGGUGAGGCAGAGAGGGUAAAAUUUAGGUUGUGAGGAAGUGUCUACCUUGGAGCUGUGUGGAAAUGAUUAGAUUUUCUCAAGGAGAACAAGUUCUUUGCAGAGUCCUUGUAGAUAUUCUGCUGUGGCAGCCUAGCUGGAAGAUGAGUGUGGAUUCAUAGAAGUGUGGUAUGUGCAUGAAGUGGAGGAAUUUUCUACUCAUUGCCCUUUGCAGGACUGUACUGAAGUGAAGGAGUAGUUGCCUGAGUUCUUCUUAUACCUUGUACUGGGCAGGAGAAUAAAUAUAAGCACUUUAUGCUCCUGCAUGAUUUUCCUACCGUUUUUUUAACAAUUGUGAGCCAUCCACCGGGCUGUCUCUCUCAGUGUAGACAUCGGAAGGAAAUGGCCCAGAGGUGCUGUGACACUUCUUCAUUGACACACUGAGCUGCUGGAUUCAACUCUAAACAUCAUGCUGCAAUCUGUUCUCAGAGCUUGCAGCCUCCACAUCUCUUCCUAGAGUUAAGAAAGUGUUCGAAAAAAAAAGAAGGUAAUAUUCAUGGGAGAGGAAGAAAGUGAGUGCUUGUGCAAAAGGGCACCUGGCUUUUAAUUUGGUUGUCAGCAAAGUCCUCUAUGGUUGAAGAGCAGGUCACAGGUCUUGCUCCAAGGACUGCUCCUUAUAACUGAAGUAGCAUCACUGCUCCAGCAGCUCUAUUUUGAAAGAAAACAGUGCUUUCUAAGAAACAGAAUCUACCCAGGAUGUGAGAAGUGUACUCUGAAAAUGCCUACCUGUUAUUCUGAAUUCAGUAAUUGGAUAAAAGAGUAACUGUGUAACUGAAAAAAUUUUAGUACUAUAAAAAUACAUUACAGGAUUACUAAAGGCUAUUUGAAGUACUUACUGCCUAAAUUUUGGUUUUAAGCUGUAAGUAAAGACAGGUGAAAGGUCAAGGUAUUACAGUGCACACCUUAGAAAACACUUUUUAAAAAAUAUUAUCAUUGUUCUCGUUGUCUUUGUUUCAAGCUAAUUUAAAAAGCCAUUGAUGUCCCUUUAUGGAAAAAGGUAUCUGAAGCAAUAGGAACCUCUAAUCAAAGCAGAUGGACAUUGUAAUAUGUGAGGGAGUGUGUAAGACUGUUUAAUAAUAAGAAUUAUGCAGAUAGAGGGUUUGUCAAGGUAUUGUUUUGAUUUAAGAAACUGCCUGGUUGUAGUGGUUUAGCCUUCGCUGGCUGCCAGAUGCCCACCCAGCUGUUCUCUCAGUCCCCCUCUUCAAAAGGACAGAGGGAGAAAAUAAGAUGCAAAAGCUUGUGGGUCGAGACAAAGAUGAGGAAAUCACUUACCGAUUACUCUCACAGCAAAACAGACUUGACUUGAGGAAGAUCAAUUUAAUUUAUUGCCAUUUAAAAUAGAUUUGGAUGGUGACAAACAAAGACAGAAAUUAAAACACCUUCCCUCCCUGCCCUGAUUUUUCCCCAGGCUCAACUUUACUCCUUUGUUCCUGACUCCUUCACCUCCUCCCCGACUUGAGUGGCACAGGGUGC
Molecule: long non-coding RNA, 7913 nt
Organism: Harpia harpyja (harpy eagle)
Lineage: Eukaryota; Metazoa; Chordata; Aves; Accipitriformes; Accipitridae
Exons: 6
Source: RefSeq, a predicted model, not a curated record